Xiphophorus couchianus (Monterrey platyfish) is the source of this 1520-nucleotide long non-coding RNA. RefSeq lists it as uncharacterized. The record is from RefSeq and is a predicted model, not a curated record. NCBI's taxonomy places the organism in Eukaryota, Metazoa, Chordata, Actinopteri, Cyprinodontiformes, Poeciliidae. The transcript has 3 exons.
GCAAGGAGUUUGCAAGUUCUCCCCAUGCAUGUGUGCGUUCUCUCCGGGUACUCCGGCUUCCUCCUGAAGUCCAAAAUUAUGACUGUUAGGUUAAUUGAUUUUAGAGAAAUCAAUUAAUCUUCCUUGUGAUCUUCCUGUGUCUCCAGUUUGUCUUCUUUUUGCUUUUUUUGUUCUCCCCUGUUUUACUUCCUCCAAUCCCUGUGAUUGGAGCCGUUUCCUCCCAUGGGUUGAAUACGCUCACAAUAGUCAUAUCUCUGCAGCCACUGGUUUCUCUCCUUUCGAAGUCUCUCUAGGUCUCUCCAGCCACCAUUGCUCUCCUCUGAUGAGAAUAACAUUGCUGUCACAUCCGUACAACAUCACAUCCGCCGCUGCAAGAACAUCUGGAAAACCACCAUCGACGCCCUCAAUAACACCUCCGCCCAGAACAAGCGCCUCGCUGACCGUAGAUGGACCUCGGCUCCCACCUACACUCCUGGCCAGAAGAUCAAGCCCGUCCAGUCCAGCAUCUUGUGCCCUCCUUCCGAGCCCCCUCCUCCCGCCCAAGACGUGGAUGGGCAUUCUGCUUACACUGUCCGCCGGAUCGUGGACUCCCGUCGACAAGGUCGUGGCUGGCAGUACCUCGUCGACUGGGAGGGCUACGGUCAGGAGGAUCGCUCAUGGGUCCCAGGUUCUUUUAUUCUUGACCCUUCUCUGAUUGAGGAUUAUCGAUCUUUGCUCCCUUCCGGUUCAUCUCGGCCACCAGGUGGCGACCAUUGAGGGGGCGGGAGGACUGUUGGGAACCGGGGGUUUUGUUCCCUGUUGUGGGUUUUUUCUGUUCUCCCUGUUGGUCUGUGGCUCCUCCCUUCAUCCACCAGAUGGCACCAGAGGCUGUUUUCCUGGAGGGGCGUACCUGUGGUUCAAGCGCACCUGUGUUUCAUUAUCCAAUCAUCCUGAGGCUUAAGAGGAGCAGGUGGUCUGCACUUCACUUCAUGGCCUGAGUGUUAGCCAGUAAUGGUACUCUGAGCCCUCCUGAGUGUACUCUCUGAGCUUUAUUGGAGAAGAACUCUUUGUAAUCACUCUUGUUGCUUCCCUGUUCUCAGGUUUUUCCUUGUGACGCCAAGUAUUCUCCUUGAGAAGACCUCGUUCUGGAUUUCUCCUCCUCGUGAUGCUGUGGAUUAUUACUCACUGGUUGUCCGAGUCCCACCUUCACCUCCUCCAUUUGAUCACAAACCGCUCCUGGGCUCUCCAGCUGGCAGUCGGAUCGCUCCUCUGUCUUCUUCCAUGCCUGAACUGACCUGUCCGCCCUCCACCGCAGCCUCCACGUUUCCACACGGAACCUCCCUGAUUGAGCCACCCUCUGGAACCCGGAUCACCUUCUAGACCCACACAAAGGAUUCAUAACCCCGAGCCCUCAGUCAACUCUCUCCCCGAAUAAAUGUUCCAUCGUUACAAUGUACCGACGACUCCGUGAACCUGCCCCAGGGAUUAUUCUCACCCGACCUCUCUUGCCUUAUUGUAUUAAUAAACAUUCUCUAACUGAU